GACAGCGUUGGCCCGAGUGGUUAGGCGAUGGACUUGAAAUCCAUUGGGGUAACCUGCGUGAGUUCAAAUCUCACAGCUGUCG
Molecule: transfer RNA, 82 nt
Filed under: Pythium insidiosum
Lineage: Eukaryota; Oomycota; Peronosporomycetes; Pythiales; Pythiaceae
Description: tRNA-Ser
Rfam family: tRNA
About the family: Transfer RNA (tRNA) molecules are approximately 80 nucleotides in length. Their secondary structure includes four short double-helical elements and three loops (D, anti-codon, and T loops). Further hydrogen bonds mediate the characteristic L-shaped molecular structure. tRNAs have two regions of fundamental functional importance: the anti-codon, which is responsible for specific mRNA codon recognition, and the 3' end, to which the tRNAs corresponding amino acid is attached (by aminoacyl-tRNA synthetases). tRNAs cope with the degeneracy of the genetic code in two manners: having more than one tRNA (with a specific anti-codon) for a particular amino acid; and 'wobble' base-pairing, i.e. permitting non-standard base-pairing at the 3rd anti-codon position.
Source: RNAcentral